This 1212-nucleotide ribosomal RNA is filed under the name metagenome. Its description in RNAcentral is "bacterial SSU rRNA". It matches the Rfam family "Bacterial small subunit ribosomal RNA", at positions 8 to 1223 of the family's 1533-position model. The record is from RNAcentral.
AGAGUUUGAUCAUGGCUCAGGACGAACGCUGGCGGCGUGCUUAACACAUGCAAGUCGAACGGAGCACCCUUGAUUGAGGUUUCGGCCAAAUGAUAGGAAUGCUUAGUGGCGGACUGGUGAGUAACGCGUGAGGAACCUGCCUUUCAGAGGGGGACAACAGUUGGAAACGACUGCUAAUACCGCAUGACGCAUUUUGAUCGCAUGGUCGAAAUGCCAAAGAUUUAUCGCUGAAAGAUGGCCUCGCGUCUGAUUAGAUAGUUGGCGGGGUAACGGCCCACCAAGUCGACGAUCAGUAGCCGGACUGAGAGGUUGACCGGCCACAUUGGGACUGAGAUACGGCCCAGACUCCUACGGGAGGCAGCAGUGGGGAAUAUUGGGCAAUGGGCGCAAGCCUGACCCAGCAACGCCGCGUGAAGGAAGAAGGCUUUCGGGUUGUAAACUUCUUUUAAGUGGGAAGAGUAGAAGACGGUAUCACUUGAAUAAGCCACGGCUAACUACGUGCCAGCAGCCGCGGUAAUACGUAGGUGGCAAGCGUUGUCCGGAUUUACUGGGUGUAAAGGGCGUGCAGCCGGGCAUGCAAGUCAGAUGUGAAAUCUCAGGGCUUAACCCUGAAACUGCAUUUGAAACUGUAUGUCUUGAGUGCCGGAGAGGUAAUCGGAAUUCCUUGUGUAGCGGUGAAAUGCGUAGAUAUAAGGAAGAACACCAGUGGCGAAGGCGGAUUACUGGACGGUAACUGACGGUGAGGCGCGAAAGCGUGGGGAGCGAACAGGAUUAGAUACCCUGGUAGUCCACGCUGUAAACGAUGGAUACUAGGUGUGCGGGGACUGACCCCCUGCGUGCCGCAGUUAACACAAUAAGUAUCCCACCUGGGGAGUACGAUCGCAAGGUUGAAACUCAAAGGAAUUGACGGGGGCCCGCACAAGCGGUGGAUAUGUGGUUUAAUUCGAAGCAACGCGAAGAACCUUACCAGGUCUUGACAUCCUGCUAACGAAGUAGAGAUACAUUAGGUGCCCUUCGGGGAAAGCAGAGACAGGUGGUGCAUGGUUGUCGUCAGCUCGUGUCGUGAGAUGUUGGGUUAAGUCCCGCAACGAGCGCAACCCCUAUUGUUAGUUGCUACGCAAGAGCACUCUAGCGAGACUGCCGUUGACAAAACGGAGGAAGGUGGGGACGACGUCAAAUCAUCAUGCCCCUUAUGACCUGGGCUACACACGU